Long non-coding RNA from Diceros bicornis minor, 332 nucleotides. RefSeq lists it as uncharacterized. The transcript has 3 exons. The record is from RefSeq and is a predicted model, not a curated record. Lineage: Eukaryota; Metazoa; Chordata; Mammalia; Perissodactyla; Rhinocerotidae.
AACCUGAAGACCCUCACAGUCACCUUCCCCAUCUCCACCCUCCAGUAUUCAUCAGACAGGAGCAAUGGCUCAGCCACGUUCCACUCCACUGAGAGGGUCCUGCAGAGCCUGCUGGAUCCUUGUUCAAGAAGAGCAGCCUGGGCCUCUUCUCCUUGAGUUGCAGACUGGUCUCCCUCAGGCCUGUGAAGGAUGGGGGAGCCACCUGUGUGGACGCUGUCUGCACCCACCACCGUGACCCCGUGGGCCACCAUGCCUCUGUGCUGGGAGCUGAGAGUCUCCACCUGUCUGCUCUUCCUCUCGGUGGCUCCAGGCUCUGCACCCUGGAGUUUAUG